UCCAAGGCUCAACUUGUAAAUGUGAUCUAA
This 30-nucleotide non-coding RNA is filed under the name Rattus norvegicus (Norway rat). The record is from RNAcentral. Lineage: Eukaryota; Metazoa; Chordata; Mammalia; Rodentia; Muridae.